GUUUGUUUGAAGUUAUAAAGAAUCUAACCUGCCCCCUGAUUUAAAAUUUAAAGGGCCGCAGUAUUAUAACUGUGCAAAGGUAGCAUAAUCAUUAGGUUUUUAAUUGAAAUCUUGUAUGAAUGGUUGGACAAAAGAAAAACUCUCUUUAAAUUAAUUUUGAAUUUAACUUUUAAGUGAAAAGGCUUAAAUAUUCUAAAGGGACGAUAAGACCCUAUAAAACUUUAUAUUAAAAUUAUAUUUAAUUAAAUUUGUUAAAUAAAAAUUUAAUUUAGUUAUUUAUUAUGUUGGGGAGACAUGAACAAAAUAAUAUUUUAACUGUUUAUAAAAUAUACAAUUAUAAUUGAAAUAAGUAAGAGAUCCUUUAUAAAGAUUAAAGAUUAAGUUACUUUAGGGAUAACAGCGUAAUUUCUUUUGAGAGUUCUUAUCGAAAAAGUAGGUUGCGACCUCGAUGUUGAAUUAAAAUAUCUAUAUAAUGCAGAAGUUAUAUUAGAAGGUCUGUUCGACCUUUAAAUUUUUACAUGAUUUGAGUUCAAACCGGUGUGAG
RNAcentral lists this ribosomal RNA (544 nucleotides) under Eosamon boonyaratae. Its description in RNAcentral is "partial 16S rRNA". It matches the Rfam family "Bacterial large subunit ribosomal RNA", at positions 1829 to 2625 of the family's 2925-position model. Lineage: Eukaryota; Metazoa; Arthropoda; Malacostraca; Decapoda; Potamidae. The record is from RNAcentral.